Molecule: ribosomal RNA, 406 nt
Filed under: uncultured bacterium
Lineage: Bacteria
Description: partial 16S ribosomal RNA
Rfam family: Bacterial small subunit ribosomal RNA
Source: RNAcentral
AUUGAACGCUGGCGGCAGGCCUAACACAUGCAAGUCGAGCGCGCGGCGGACGGGUGAGUAAUGUAUGGGGAUCUGCCCGAUGGAGGGGGAUAACUACUGGAAACGGUAGCUACUACCGCAUACUAUCGGAUGAACCCAUAUGGGAUUAGCUAGUAGGUGGGGUAAAGGCGCACCUAGGCGACGAUCCCUAGCUGGUCUGAGAGGAUGAUCAGCCACACUGGAACUGAGACACGGCCCAGACUCCGACGGGAGGCAGCAGUGGGGAAUAUUGCACAAUGGGCGAAAGCCUGAUGCAGCCAUGCCGCGUGUAUGAAGAAGGCCUUCGGGUUGUAAAGUACUUUCAGCGAGGAGGCGUUACUCGCAGAAGAAGCACCGGCUAACUCCGUGCCAGCCGCCGCGGUAAUUC